ACCUUAUCAAGAGUGGCGGAGGGACUGGCCCGUUGAUGCCCGGCAACCAGCAGAAUGCAUGGUGCUAAUUCCUGCAAAAAAGUAUUUUUGGCAGAUGAGGU
Regulatory RNA element from Filifactor alocis ATCC 35896, 101 nucleotides. It matches the Rfam family "SAM riboswitch aptamer (S box leader)". Rfam says of the family: The SAM riboswitch is found upstream of a number of genes which code for proteins involved in methionine or cysteine biosynthesis in Gram-positive bacteria. The SAM riboswitch acts at the level of transcription termination control. NCBI's taxonomy places the organism in Bacteria, Bacillati, Bacillota, Clostridia, Peptostreptococcales, Filifactoraceae. The record is from Rfam.